UGGGGAAUAUUGCACAAUGGAGGGAACUCUGAUGCAGCGACGCCGCGUGAACGAAGAAGGCUUUCGAGUCGUAAAGUUCUUUUAUAUGGGAAGAUAAUGACGGUACCAUAAGAAAAAGCCCCGGCUAACUACGUGCCAGCAGCCGCGGUAAUACGUAGGGGGCUAGCGUUGUCCGGAAUCACUGGGCGUAAAGGGUUCGCAGGCGGAAAUGCAAGUCAGGUGUAAAAGGCAGUAGCUUAACUACUGUAAGCAUUUGAAACUGCAUAUCUUGAGAAGAGUAGAGGUAAGUGGAAUUUUUAGUGUAGCGGUGAAAUGCGUAGAUAUUAAAAAGAAUACCGGUGGCGAAGGCGACUUACUGGGCACAUUCUGACGCUGAGGAACGAAAGCGUGGGUAGCAAACAGG
RNAcentral lists this ribosomal RNA (403 nucleotides) under bacterium. RNAcentral's name for it is "partial 16S ribosomal RNA". It matches the Rfam family "Bacterial small subunit ribosomal RNA", at positions 355 to 776 of the family's 1533-position model. RNAcentral also lists the same sequence under 1 other name. The record is from RNAcentral.